GACGAACGCUGGCGGCGUGCUUAACACAUGCAAGUCGAACGGAAAGGCCCUGCUUUUGUGGCGUGCUCGAGUGGCGAACGGGUGAGUAACACGUGAGUAACCUGCCCUUGACUUUGGGAUAACUUCAGGAAACUGGGGCUAAUACCGGAUAGGAGCUCCUGCUGCAUGGUGGGGGUUGGAAAGUUUCGGCGGUUGGGGAUGGACUCGCGGCUUAUCAGCUUGUUGGUGGGGUAGUGGCUUACCAAGGCUUUGACGGGUAGCCGGCCUGAGAGGGUGACCGGCCACAUUGGGACUGAGGUGCGGCGCAGACUCCUACGGGGGGCAGCAGUGGGGAAUAUUGCACAAUGGGCGGAAGCAGGAUGCAGCAACGCCGCGUGCGGGAUGACGGCCUUCGGGUUGUAAACCGCUUUCGCCUGUGACGAAGCGUGAGUGACGGUAAUGGGUAAAGAAGCACCGGCUAACUACGUG
This 468-nucleotide ribosomal RNA is filed under the name uncultured bacterium. RNAcentral's name for it is "partial 16S ribosomal RNA". It matches the Rfam family "Bacterial small subunit ribosomal RNA", at positions 28 to 507 of the family's 1533-position model. The record is from RNAcentral.